GGGGCUCUCGCUUCCUCUUCUCAUCAGUCAUCAGUUCUGUUUCUUUUUCCCGCCAUUUCAAGCCUCGCCUAAGCCUUUGCUCUCUCCUUCACACACACUUCUUUUUUCGCUUUGUCACGAUCUUAAAUCUCCAAACACCGAAGAAGAUGUUGUGGGUCGACAAGUAUCGUCCAAAAACCCUAGACCAGAUCACAGUUCACCAAGACGUAGCACAGAAUCUUAAGAAAUUGGUUACAGAACAGGACUGCCCUCAUUUGCUCUUCUAUGGCCCCUCCGGUUCCGGAAAGAAAACCCUAGUCAUGGCCCUUAUCCGGCAGAUGUUCGGAGCCAGUGCGGAUAAGGUGAAGGUGGAGAACAAAACGUGGAAAGUUGAUGCUGGAGCUAGAACUAUUGAUA
This 396-nucleotide unclassified non-coding RNA is filed under the name Hevea brasiliensis (rubber tree). Lineage: Eukaryota; Viridiplantae; Streptophyta; Magnoliopsida; Malpighiales; Euphorbiaceae. The record is from RNAcentral.